RNAcentral lists this transfer RNA (85 nucleotides) under Cardiochiles fuscipennis. Its description in RNAcentral is "tRNA-Val". The record is from RNAcentral. Lineage: Eukaryota; Metazoa; Arthropoda; Insecta; Hymenoptera; Braconidae.
AGAAUUUUAGUUUAAAAAAAAAUUUAAUAUUUACAAUAUUAAGAUAUAAUUAUUAUAAAUUUUUAAUUUAAAAUAAUAAAUUCAA